AGCUGUAAACCUAGCCCUCAAGAAACAAUAACCCUUAAACCCCAACUAAAUCAUUUAUACUCUUCAGUAUAGGAGAUAAAAAAAGAAAUAAGCGCAAUAGACAAAGUACCGUAAGGGAAAGAUGAAAUAGUUAUGAAAUAACCACCAAAGCACUAAAAAGCAGAGAUAUAUCCUCGUACCUUUUGCAUCAUGGUCUAGCAAGAAACCUUAAGCAAAACGCAUUAAAGUUUAACCCCCCGAAACUAGACGAGCUACUCCGAGGCAGCUAUAAGAGCAAACCCAUCUCUGUGGCAAAAGAGUGGAAAGACCCCCGA
This 314-nucleotide ribosomal RNA is filed under the name Alytes almogavarii. Its description in RNAcentral is "Alytes obstetricans almogavarii partial 16S ribosomal RNA". The record is from RNAcentral. Lineage: Eukaryota; Metazoa; Chordata; Amphibia; Anura; Alytidae.